GUUUAAGAGUUUCAAAAAACAAAUUAAUUUACAAAACAAAAAACUAAAUCACAACAAAAUCAAAAUGCAUAAAACUCAAGAAUCAACUAGCAAAUGUAGUUUCCCAACGUCCAAACACAACAUCAAAAGCAGCACCGGAUAGCGAGGGGAACAUUUUUUCUAGGCUUCAAUCCAUACAACCUUGGAACAGUUUUACCAAAUCGUCAUUCAAAUUUUUAGGAAGCCACAAAUUAUAAAAUAUAGAAUAUGACUCAGUCCCUUAGAUGUUCAUAAAAUGCGAUCAUUUUCGCAAAUCAUUACAGGUCUGUAUUGGGCUCAUCACAGUCAAUUAACAUUAAACUAUAUUAUAAACAACAGUAUGUAAUAAUAAAAUAUGUAUGUAGCUGCCUCAAAUGUAUUCUUCAAUUAAAUCGAUUGAAGAUUAUAAAAAGGUUAAGACAGCACGCUUCAUCUUGCUUCUAGGGAACGAGUCAGACAGAAACUAAUUGAAUUCAUGCCGACCAGAUAAGCGAAGCCUUGAACACAUAUAAACACUGAAAUGGAAAAAUCAAUUUAUAACAUACAAACAGGCUUCAACUGGAAUGUAAACCCUAAUUUGAGGAUUUGGAGGAAGACAUGAGUUGU
This 624-nucleotide long non-coding RNA is filed under the name Helianthus annuus (common sunflower). RNAcentral's name for it is "sRNA HanXRQr2_Chr01g0016741". Lineage: Eukaryota; Viridiplantae; Streptophyta; Magnoliopsida; Asterales; Asteraceae. The record is from RNAcentral.